RNAcentral lists this transfer RNA (75 nucleotides) under Salmonella enterica subsp. enterica. RNAcentral's name for it is "tRNA-Asp". It matches the Rfam family "tRNA". From Rfam's summary of the family: Transfer RNA (tRNA) molecules are approximately 80 nucleotides in length. Their secondary structure includes four short double-helical elements and three loops (D, anti-codon, and T loops). The record is from RNAcentral. Lineage: Bacteria; Pseudomonadati; Pseudomonadota; Gammaproteobacteria; Enterobacterales; Enterobacteriaceae.
GGAGCGGUAGUUCAGCUGGUUGUGAAUACCUGCCUGUCACGCAGGGUCGCGGGUUCUAUCCCGUCCGCUCCGCCA